This 732-nucleotide ribosomal RNA is filed under the name Triticum aestivum (bread wheat). Its description in RNAcentral is "partial small subunit ribosomal RNA". Lineage: Eukaryota; Viridiplantae; Streptophyta; Magnoliopsida; Poales; Poaceae. The record is from RNAcentral.
AUGGGGCGCGCCACCGCCUGCCUGGCCGCCUUGCUGCUCGCCGUCACCUUUCUGCUUGCCCCCGCCGCCACGGAGUCGCUCGCGGCCGUGCAGACGGACCAGACGACCACUGAGAGCGGGUCCACCCUGUCGGCGCACUGCUGCAAAGACGAGGAGGAAGCGGUGGCCAAGCCUGCCCAGCUUGUUGUUGGUGAUCUAGCGGACUUGGCAUCAGCGGAGGAGCAAGGCCAUAAGCCUAGCUCUCACCGGAGUAACAAAAAGAAGAUCCACCACCACCACCACGAUGACGACGAUGAUGACGACGAUGAUGAUGAUGGUGGUGGUGGUGAUGAUGAUCAUGAUGGCAACGACGAUGACGACGACGACGAUGGUGGUGGUGGUGGUGGUCGUCGUGAUGAUGAUGAUGAUGACAACGACGACGACGACGAUGAUGAUGGUGGCGACGAUGAUAAUGAUGAUGGUGGCGACGACGAUGACGACAAUGGCCGAUCCCACUCGGGCCACGACUGUGACUCAGGCUCUGACUGUGAUGGUGAUGACGACAACUCAAAGGGCAGGAAGAAGAAGCCCUCAACUCCAGAAAAGAAGGAAGUCCCGGGAGGAAACCGAUGCUCACAGUGCAUUUCUUCCAUCAAAAUGUAUGACUCGGAAAUGAUUUUUUGCACCGGAGGAGGUGAAAGCUCUGAGAUUGCAAGGCUGGAGCAACUCUGUAUAAUUUGCACACAUGGGUAG